GAUGAACGCUGGCGGCGUGCCUAAUACAUGCAAGUCGAGCGAACCUCUUCGGAGGUUAGCGGCGGACGGGUGAGUAACACGUGGGCAACCUACCUUGUAGAUGGGGAUAACAUCGAGAAAUCGGUGCUAAUACCGAAUAACACUUUUCUCCACAUGGAGAAAAGUUAAAAGUUGGCUUUUGCUAACACUACAAGAUGGGCCCGCGGCGCAUUAGCUAGUUGGUGAGGUAACGGCUCACCAAGGCGACGAUGCGUAGCCGACCUGAGAGGGUGAUCGGCCACACUGGGACUGAGACACGGCCCAGACUCCUACGGGAGGCAGCAGUAGGGAAUCUUCCGCAAUGGACGAAAGUCUGACGGAGCAACGCCGCGUGAGUGAUGAAGGCCUUCGGGUCGUAAAACUCUGUUGUUAGGGAAGAACAAGUACCGUUCGAAUAGGGCGGUACCGUGACGGUACCUAACCAGAAAGCCACGGCUAACUACGUGCCAGCCGCCGCCGUAA
This 501-nucleotide ribosomal RNA is filed under the name uncultured bacterium. Its description in RNAcentral is "partial 16S ribosomal RNA". It matches the Rfam family "Bacterial small subunit ribosomal RNA", at positions 28 to 523 of the family's 1533-position model. The record is from RNAcentral.